Oncorhynchus keta (chum salmon) is the source of this 693-nucleotide long non-coding RNA. RefSeq lists it as uncharacterized. The record is from RefSeq and is a predicted model, not a curated record. Lineage: Eukaryota; Metazoa; Chordata; Actinopteri; Salmoniformes; Salmonidae. The transcript is spliced from 3 exons.
GUUUAGCCAGGGAGAACAUGGCUUGUGAUGUAGAUGAGGUGCUGUUUAGCCAGGGAGAACAUGGCUUGUGAUGUGGAUGAGGUGCUGUUUAGCCAGGGAGAACAUGGCUUGUGAUGUAGAUGAGGUGCUGUUUAGCCAGGGAGAACAUGGCUUGUGAUGUGGAUGAGGUGCUGUUUAGCCAGGGAGAACAUGGCUUGUGAUGUAGAUGAGGUGCUGUGGCCAGGGAGAACAUGGCUUGUGAUGUAGAUGAGGUGCUGUGGCCAGGGAGAACAUGGCUUGUGAUGUAGAUGAGGUGCUGUUUAGCCAGGGAGAACAUGGCUUGUGAUGUAGAUGAGGUGCUGUGGCCAGGGAGAACAUGGCCUGUGAUGUAGAUGAGGUGCUGUUUAGCCAGGGAGAACAUGGCUUGUGAUGUAGAUGAGGUGCUGUUUAGCCAGGGAGAACAUGGCUUGUGAUGUAGAUGAGGUGCUGUUUAGCCAGGGAGAACAUGGCUUGUGAUGUAGAUGAGGUGCUGUUUAGCCAGGGAGAACAUGGCUUGUGAUGUAGAUGAGGUGCUGUUCAGCCAGGGAGAACAUGGCUUGUGAUGUAGAUGAGGUACUGUUCAGCCAGGGAGAACAUGGCUUGUGAUGUAGAUGAGGUGCUGUGGCCAGGGAGAACAUGGCUUGUGAUGUAGAUGAGGUGCUGUGGCCAGGGAGA